Phyllopteryx taeniolatus (common seadragon) is the source of this 1613-nucleotide long non-coding RNA. RefSeq lists it as uncharacterized. The transcript is spliced from 3 exons. Lineage: Eukaryota; Metazoa; Chordata; Actinopteri; Syngnathiformes; Syngnathidae. The record is from RefSeq and is a predicted model, not a curated record.
UGCCUGGCUUGGAUCAAUGAUGGAGGAAAUUCCUUUGCCGAAACAGCCAUCUACUAUUUCAAGCUACUUGUUUUCCUUCUAGCACGACGGAUUAUUGGUUAGCAGGCUGGAUGUCCGGGUGGAGCCCAGACCCAACAGGGGUGCCUGGCAUCUGACUUCAUCACCGCCAAAGCUGUUGCAUAACAGGGGAGUGGGAAAGGCUUUGCUCUGCAGACGGCAUGAAGGAGAGCAGGCGUAACAUUUAUGUCUUCGUCUUUUGACUUGGUGAAGCAGCAUGUGGCUCAUCGCUCAAAGUUAUUUUUUUUUCUCACUGUUCCCAAGUAAAUGAAGUAAACAACUGUUCGGGUCAUGAUAAGUCGGAGUGUGACAGCAGUUGCAACCUUUUAUCCUGUAUUCUGUACAUCUACUCUGCAAUUUCUCCUCUCAAAUACAAAGACUUACUUACUUACUUACUUACUUAUACUUUUGGUGUUUCCCAGUAUUUACCACAGUAACAAAAAACCAUAAAACAUGUAAUUGUUAAACUUAGACCUGUCUUCACUAUCAAGGAGUAGAACCACAUUUUGUAACGACUCUAUCUGUACAAAAGUGUUGGGACACAUACAUAGGAGACGAGUGUAAGCACUUUAGUGAUUGACAUGCAGACUAACAAAUGUCUUAGUGAUGGAACCGACCAAUGAGUGGUGCUGUCCGCCAUGAUUGGCUUGUGCACCCACCAAUGACAGCAAAUGAGAUCCCAGUCAACGGCAGCGUAGCGCAUUGAGAUCCAGAGCUGCGGACCAAAAGAGAAAUCUGACACAUCACUCAUUCAAACUGGAGUGGUAGAAAAGAAGGCUACAAUAAUCAUUUCCCUCAAUUGCGCUGCCUUGUUCCAAUGACAUGUCAGGAUCCUAACUUGAUCCGUCACCAUUAUAAAAUCCACAAAGACAGGUAAGCUAUGUUAACUUCACCAUUUAGCUAACCAAUAGCUGGUCAAACAGAAACAAAUUUUCAUGUCGGUUAUGUGUUGAAUUGAGAAGACCAUAAAGUGAUUCACAAUACAGAGACUUUUUUUUUUUUUUUUUUCUUCAAAAGCUUUGUUAUUGUGAAUGUAAGUUUGUACAGCUAACUAACACAAGUACACGUACUGUACUGAGUGCAAAGUUGCUAAUGUGCAGAUACAUGCUGUGAGUAGGGACUCAACAUGCCUUGCUUGAGUUCUUCCACAGUAACUUGCGACUUGCUUGAAACUUUAAAUGAACUUGAGACUUAAGACUUGCACGUAAGUGAUUUACUCCCACCUCUGCAGUACACAAUAUUUUGCUUGUCGUGUGUGGCCUCUCACAUUUAAAAAAUGGAUUAAGCUGUUAAAAAAAGAUCUGUAUGUGUGUACCUCCGCUUAAGUACAAGGAAAGAAUGAGGUGAGAGGAGCAACUCGAUGCACAGCGUGCAUAACGCGAAACACGCCACCCCACGGUCUUGGCUACAAGCAUAUGCAUAUUGGCAACACCGCACAUGCGUCUUGGGGAGCAGAAAAUAACGAGUGGAACAUAAAAAUCGAUACGGCACAACCUUCUCCAUCACUUGGUUUCAUGGGUUAAAGCGCUUGACCCGAGACAUCUGCUUUACUGUAA